RNAcentral lists this non-coding RNA (30 nucleotides) under Rattus norvegicus (Norway rat). The record is from RNAcentral. Lineage: Eukaryota; Metazoa; Chordata; Mammalia; Rodentia; Muridae.
UCUUUUUCCUCCAGGAAAGAAUAGGGCUGC